GACGAACGCUGGCGGCGUGCUUAACACAUGCAAGUCGAACGGAAAGGCCCUGCUUUUGUGGGGUGCUCGAGUGGCGAACGGGUGAGUAACACGUGAGUAACCUGCCCUUGACUUUGGGAUAACUUCAGGAAACUGGGGCUAAUACCGGAUAGGAGCUCCUGCUGCAUGGUGGGGGUUGGAAAGUUUCGGCGGUUGGGGAUGGACUCGCGGCUUAUCAGCUUGUUGGUGGGGUAGUGGCUUACCAAGGCUUUGACGGGUAGCCGGCCUGAGAGGGUGACCGGCCACAUUGGGACUGGGAUACGGCCCAGACUCCUACGGGGGGCAGCAGUGGGGAAUAUUGCACAAUGGGCGGAAGCCUGAUGCAGCAACGCCGCGUGCGGGAGGACGGCCUUCGGGUGGUAAACCGCUUUCGCCUGUGACGAAGCGUGAGUGACGGUAAUGGGGAAAGAAGCACCGGCUAACUACGG
This 467-nucleotide ribosomal RNA is filed under the name uncultured bacterium. RNAcentral describes it as "partial 16S ribosomal RNA". It matches the Rfam family "Bacterial small subunit ribosomal RNA", at positions 28 to 506 of the family's 1533-position model. The record is from RNAcentral.